RNAcentral lists this transfer RNA (73 nucleotides) under Patiria miniata (bat star). Its description in RNAcentral is "tRNA-Val". It matches the Rfam family "tRNA". Rfam says of the family: Transfer RNA (tRNA) molecules are approximately 80 nucleotides in length. Their secondary structure includes four short double-helical elements and three loops (D, anti-codon, and T loops). The record is from Rfam by way of RNAcentral. Lineage: Eukaryota; Metazoa; Echinodermata; Asteroidea; Valvatida; Asterinidae.
GAAUCCGUAGUGUAGUGGUUAUCACGUGCGCCUAACACGCGCAAGGUUCCCGGUUCGAGCCCGGGCGGAAUCA